GGAAAACAAAAACAUUUCGUAGUACAGAACAAGCCAACAAAAACAUUUCAACACUAAAGUAAAACUGUAGCAAGCACAAUGGUUACACUACACUGUUUAGAUACCUAAUUGCUAAUUUAGGUUAUGCGGCUGAUGGAACCAAAAAAUAUAUAAAGAAUCUAUUUUCAAGUACUCCCUGGAACCAAAAAAUAUAUAAAGAAUCUAUUUUCAAGUACUCCCUCUGUAAACGGUCCAGUCCUAGCUAUGAGGACAUUACACAUCAGUAAGUUCCAUGGAGACGGUCUCCUUUCCUAUACCUAAACUAUGUAUAUAUGCCUCCAUGGAGAAGGACGAAGACGACACGACCCACAUCACCACAACACAGUUCUAGUUUCCUUGGUCCAUCCCCUUGCUUCUCUUCAGGUCUCUCUACCUUGGUGUUGUCAUGCUACUCCUGCGUUCCAGUCUAACAUUUAGCCAAUAUAAACUCACUGCUCUCUGUACAAGAGAGCAGUAAUAGGGUACAGAAGAAAAACUGGAACUUCACUUAUCCACUGAAGUGUGUAAAGCCCAGCUCUGAAUUUUUGGUUGCACCGCUAAUCAUCAUCCAUCUCAAAGAAUAGGCAAAAUCUGCAACAAUAUGAAUGGCCUUAGAAUUAACUGUUGCAAGAAUAAAGGAUGUACAUCUACAACUACAGCAGAAUUAACUGUUAUGAAUUUUUUUUGCAGGAGUGAACAUGAGCUUUGUAGUUCUAUGUUUAUUUUAUGGAGCAGUACUGGCAUUAUUAAAAACAAUCCUGUUAGUAUUAUCAUUUUUCAGGUCUUCAAGAAACACAUCUCUUCUGUGCUAGAUCUAGAUACGCCCCCGAGCGUAGUAUAAGUUAUUUGAAAUCGUGGAAAAGCAACCUGAAAAUUGUCUGAAGGCAUGAAGACCAGAAUUCAGAGUAAACGGUUGUAAAAUACCAAGAAGCACUUCAUGGAAUAUAUUUGAUUACUCAGCAUUAAACAACCAAACAAGAGUAGUAAAAAAUGACCAAGGAUGAUUUUAGCAGGCAUUUUAUGAAAAUAAUCUAGCCUCAUUGUACUGAACACUGAAAUGAAUCAUCAACUAAGAAUUUUAAAUUCCUGCUGAAAUCCUAUUGGGAUUCAAAUUUAGGGCAAAAGAAACCUUGCAUUGUUCAUCGAAGGGUAAAAUUCUCAGGGAAUCUUGAUUCUGGACCACUCAAAUAUCAUGGAGGUUGUACCAUAUCCAUUCAGUAAAAUCUAUAACAAAAGAAAUGUACGCAUACAUAUCAGGAUGAAAUUCCUCAUAUAGAUCAUUAUAACUAAGGCAACAAAUAAUAUUUCAGGCUAGUACCGUGUAUGCUUUAAUCAUAGUAUUUUUCACUGCAAAUAAUAUUUGCUCUUUGUCAAAACAUACGGGAAUGUAAGGAAAAAGUCAUACACAAGGGGAAGAGAAAAACGUAAUGUAACAUUCUUCAAGCCAAAUAAACAUUAGUAGAAUCCUACAGGAGAGACUCACCAUAAAAUUGGUUCCAUUCUUUGAAUAACCACUUCAUGCAAAAUCCCUUACAAUAUAUUCAGACCAAUCCAUCAACCAAAAAAUUGUAGUGUUCUUCACCACUGAACUCUGAUUCAAGAACUGAAGGGUAUGUCAAUUGCAUAUACUAUAUUGCAUGUUUUCAUCUGUCUUUUCCCCUCCAAAUGAUAAUUUUCUCCUUGCCAAAAGACACGAGAAUGCAAGCAAAAAGGUCCUGCAGAAAUAAGGUGAGAGAAAUGCAUCCUGUUACAGCCUUACAUGUGAAGCAAAAUAAGCAUUUUGUAGUAAGCAUAUAUGGUAAACUACAAUCUUCAGAUAACCACAUUGGGCAAUCAUUUACAAUCAAUUCAACCGACUAAUCAGUCAAUUCGACACCAGACAGUAAAGAUAAACACAAGUUACUAAAAACUUUUGAACCACAGAUGCCUUGUGCUUAAUCCAUAUAAUAAGACCCACGAGGCAAUGCAGAAUAAAAAUAGUAGCUCUAUAUCUUAACCAAACCACAGUGCAAAUAUUUUCCACAAAUAUCACAGUGAGCGGGAUAAGAACAACAUGAUAAAAACAGCAGCUCUGCAUCUUAAUCGGAAGUUCAUCCCUACCUCGACUCCCUGUCCGCCGCCACCUCCUCCUGGAUCUCAUCGCCGGUAGCACACCGCAGUCGGCCAGCCAGCAAUCAACACCAAAUGCACGUUGGCGCCAAACAAUGGACUUAAACCAGAAAGUUGGUCUAACAUUACAUCAUCAUGCAAAUAUAUGCACUGGAGGGUGGGUACCCAGUAAAAGGACACCCUGAAAAUGGAAAUGCAAUACGGUUAGCAUUGAAACCCUCAUUGCAAAAGAACCACCGGAAGGCCUCAACUUUCUGGACAAAACUGGGUACUCCAUUCCACUUGGAAUGUACUGGCAGUAUGGCCUGAAUACACACAAAUGAGUUAUGUAAGACACAAAGGCAAUUGUAUUUUGUUGUGCAGCAUCAUUUACCUAGCACAAAACAUUUUUUAAAAAGUGUGUUUCCGUCUUUCUGUUAGCAAUUAUUUGUCGAAUAGGAAUGUAAAAGCUAUAUUUAAAAUGGCAGGGUCUUAAUAAAAUACAAUUAGAUAGAGCAGCUCAGAUGAAUCAAUAACAUCCCUGCUUUUACGAAUCCAAUUCUUGGAACUCUUGGUAUAUUGCUAUCUCUAUCCAGUCUAAAUGUACGCUCGCAACAUCAUCUUGCGAAGUAAAAGAUUGGAUGCAUCCUAAGUGCAUAACAUGAUCUAUGAAAACAAUUUUACACAAAGCAUAUGAACCAACUUGAACUAUUCAACCACCCAUUGCCAUUUUCUGAACUUAAUCCAGAAAAGUGGCUACAUAUAGCUAAAAUCAAAGAGAAACUAUGAGGCUGCAGAAGAGCAUCGUCUCCUCAUGCCUCGUUUCCUGAGAAGAAGAUAAAAGGGAAGGGUUUGCGAACACACAACCAUGGCACGCCUCAUCGAUGAAUCAGGGGCCAAGGGGAGGAGGCCGCACGGAGUAAGAAAGAGAUUGGGUGAAGCUCACCUCGGUGUUGGCAACAGAAGCGGUCGCCAUCGCUCCUCGUGUGCGCAUCUCCCCCAAUCCGCGCCCCUGGCCUUGACCGCCGCGCCCGCUGCCUGCCGAGC
This 3153-nucleotide long non-coding RNA is filed under the name Triticum aestivum (bread wheat). Its description in RNAcentral is "long non-coding RNA (TAES_LNC025550)". The record is from RNAcentral. Lineage: Eukaryota; Viridiplantae; Streptophyta; Magnoliopsida; Poales; Poaceae.